This 907-nucleotide ribosomal RNA is filed under the name uncultured bacterium. RNAcentral describes it as "bacterial SSU rRNA". It matches the Rfam family "Bacterial small subunit ribosomal RNA", at positions 1 to 898 of the family's 1533-position model. RNAcentral also lists the same sequence under 1 other name. The record is from RNAcentral.
UGGAUCCAGACUUUGAUUCUGGCUCAGGAUGAACGCUAGCUACAGGCUUAACACAUGCAAGUCGAGGGGAAACGACAUCGAAAGCUUGCUUUUGAUGGGCGUCGACCGGCGCACGGGUGAGUAACGCGUAUCCAACCUGCCCACCACUUGGGGAUAACCUUGCGAAAGUAAGACUAAUACCCAAUGACGUCUCUAGAAGACAUCUGAAAGAGAUUAAAGAUUUAUCGGUGAUGGAUGGGGAUGCGUCUGAUUAGCUUGUUGGCGGGGUAACGGCCCACCAAGGCAACGAUCAGUAGGGGUUCUGAGAGGAAGGUCCCCCACAUUGGUACUGAGACACGGUCCAAACUCCUACGGGAGGCAGCAGUGAGGAAUAUUGGUCAAUGGACGAGAGUCUGAACCAGCCAAGUAGCGUGCAGGAUGACGGCCCUAUGGGUUGUAAACUGCUUUUAUAAGGGAAUAAAGUGAGUCUCGUGAGACUUUUUGCAUGUACCUUAUGAAUAAGGACCGGCUAAUUCCGUGCCAGCAGCCGCGGUAAUACGGAAGGUCCGGGCGUUAUCCGGAUUUAUUGGGUUUAAAGGGAGCGUAGGCCGGAGAUUAAGCGUGUUGUGAAAUGUAGACGCUCAACGUCUGCACUGCAGCGCGAACUGGUUUCCUCGAGUACGCACAAAGUGGGCGGAAUUCGUGGUGUAGCGGUGAAAUGCUUAGAUAUCACGAAGAACUCCGAUUGCGAAGGCAGCUCACUGGAGCGCAACUGACGCUGAAGCUCGAAAGUGCGGGUAUCGAACAGGAUUAGAUACCCUGGUAGUCCGCACGGUAAACGAUGGAUGCCCGCUGUUGGUCUGAAUAGGUCAGCGGCCAAGCGAAAGCAUUAAGCAUCCCACCUGGGGAGUACGCCGGCAACGGUGCA